This 778-nucleotide ribosomal RNA is filed under the name Lactiplantibacillus plantarum. RNAcentral describes it as "bacterial SSU rRNA". It matches the Rfam family "Bacterial small subunit ribosomal RNA", at positions 59 to 803 of the family's 1533-position model. Lineage: Bacteria; Bacillati; Bacillota; Bacilli; Lactobacillales; Lactobacillaceae. The record is from RNAcentral.
CAGUCGACGAACUCUGGUAUUGAUUGGUGCUUGCAUCAUGAUUUACAUUUGAGUGAGUGGCGAACUGGUGAGUAACACGUGGGAAACCUGCCCAGAAGCGGGGGAUAACACCUGGAAACAGAUGCUAAUACCGCAUAACAACUUGGACCGCAUGGUCCGAGUUUGAAAGAUGGCUUCGGCUAUCACUUUUGGAUGGUCCCGCGGCGUAUUAGCUAGAUGGUGGGGUAACGGCUCACCAUGGCAAUGAUACGUAGCCGACCUGAGAGGGUAAUCGGCCACAUUGGGACUGAGACACGGCCCAAACUCCUACGGGAGGCAGCAGUAGGGAAUCUUCCACAAUGGACGAAAGUCUGAUGGAGCAACGCCGCGUGAGUGAAGAAGGGUUUCGGCUCGUAAAACUCUGUUGUUAAAGAAGAACAUAUCUGAGAGUAACUGUUCAGGUAUUGACGGUAUUUAACCAGAAAGCCACGGCUAACUACGUGCCAGCAGCCGCGGUAAUACGUAGGUGGCAAGCGUUGUCCGGAUUUAUUGGGCGUAAAGCGAGCGCAGGCGGUUUUUUAAGUCUGAUGUGAAAGCCUUCGGCUCAACCGAAGAAGUGCAUCGGAAACUGGGAAACUUGAGUGCAGAAGAGGACAGUGGAACUCCAUGUGUAGCGGUGAAAUGCGUAGAUAUAUGGAAGAACACCAGUGGCGAAGGCGGCUGUCUGGUCUGUAACUGACGCUGAGGCUCGAAAGUAUGGGUAGCAAACAGGAUUAGAUACCCUGGUAGUCCAUACCGU